RNAcentral lists this transfer RNA (69 nucleotides) under Caecilia tentaculata. RNAcentral's name for it is "tRNA-Asp". The record is from RNAcentral. Lineage: Eukaryota; Metazoa; Chordata; Amphibia; Gymnophiona; Caeciliidae.
AAAAUGUUAGUAAACCCAUUACACCGCCUUGUCAUGACGGAAUAACGAGUGUAAACCUCGUACAUUUUA